GUGCCUGUGGUGAAAAUGGUAGACACGCCAGUCUUAGAAACUGGUGCCAAAAGGUGUGAGGGUUCGAGUCCCUCCGGGCACACCA
This 85-nucleotide transfer RNA is filed under the name Parachitinimonas caeni. Its description in RNAcentral is "tRNA-Leu". It matches the Rfam family "tRNA". From Rfam's summary of the family: Transfer RNA (tRNA) molecules are approximately 80 nucleotides in length. Their secondary structure includes four short double-helical elements and three loops (D, anti-codon, and T loops). The record is from RNAcentral. Lineage: Bacteria; Pseudomonadati; Pseudomonadota; Betaproteobacteria; Neisseriales; Chitinibacteraceae.